Molecule: ribosomal RNA, 535 nt
Filed under: Rhodococcus tukisamuensis
Lineage: Bacteria; Bacillati; Actinomycetota; Actinomycetes; Mycobacteriales; Nocardiaceae
Description: bacterial SSU rRNA
Rfam family: Bacterial small subunit ribosomal RNA
Source: RNAcentral
GGGCGAAAGCCUGAUGCAGCGACGCCGCGUGAGGGAUGACGGCCUUCGGGUUGUAAACCUCUUUCAGCAGGGACGAAGCGCAAGUGACGGUACCUGCAGAAGAAGCACCGGCCAACUACGUGCCAGCAGCCGCGGUAAUACGUAGGGUGCGAGCGUUGUCCGGAAUUACUGGGCGUAAAGAGUUCGUAGGCGGUUUGUCGCGUCGUCUGUGAAAACCCACCGCUCAACGGUGGGCCUGCAGGCGAUACGGGCAGACUUGAGUACUGCAGGGGAGACUGGAAUUCCUGGUGUAGCGGUGAAAUGCGCAGAUAUCAGGAGGAACACCGGUGGCGAAGGCGGGUCUCUGGGCAGUAACUGACGCUGAGGAACGAAAGCGUGGGUAGCAAACAGGAUUAGAUACCCUGGUAGUCCACGCCGUAAACGGUGGGCGCUAGGUGUGGGUUCCUUCCACGGGAUCUGUGCCGUAGCUAACGCAUUAAGCGCCCCGCCUGGGGAGUACGGCCGCAAGGCUAAAACUCAAAGGAAUUGACGGGGG